CAGUAGACAUAUCCUGGGCUUCUGG
RNAcentral lists this non-coding RNA (25 nucleotides) under Mus musculus (house mouse). The record is from RNAcentral. Lineage: Eukaryota; Metazoa; Chordata; Mammalia; Rodentia; Muridae.